This 416-nucleotide ribosomal RNA is filed under the name uncultured microorganism. Its description in RNAcentral is "bacterial SSU rRNA". It matches the Rfam family "Bacterial small subunit ribosomal RNA", at positions 9 to 428 of the family's 1533-position model. The record is from RNAcentral.
GAGUUUGAUCUUGGCUCAGAUUGAACGCUGGCGGCAUGCCUUACACAUGCAAGUCGAACGGCAGCAUGAUCUAGCUUGCUAGAUUGAUGGCGAGUGGCGAACGGGUGAGUAAUACAUCGGAACGUGCCCUGUAGUGGGGGAUAACUAGUCGAAAGAUUAGCUAAUACCGCAUACGACCUGAGGGUGAAAGUGGGGGACCGCAAGGCCUCAUGCUAUAGGAGCGGCCGAUGUCUGAUUAGCUAGUUGGUGGGUAAAGGCUCACCAAGGCGACGAUCAGUAGCUGGUCUGAGAGGACGAUCAGCCACACUGGGACUGAGACACGGCCCAGACUCCUACGGGAGGCAGCAGUGGGGAAUUUUGGACAAUGGCGAAAGCCUGAUCCAGCAAUGCCGCGUGUGUGAAGAAGGCCUGUGUAA